UUAUAAAUAACAUAAAAGAAUAGAGAAGCAGAGGGAUUCCCGGAAAUGGAAUUGAAUUGCCAUGGUGGAAACAAAAACAAACAAGCACUAACGGAUAGAAUCUGUAAAACUAUCAAAAACCCUGAAACUCAAAUUCAACAAUUCCCUCCCACAGAACCAUAAUCGUUGAAAUCAAUGGCUUUAGCGAUUUCAAAUGUCCUUAACUGCCCUAAACCCCAAAUUUCCCUGAGGAAUUACACUCUCAAGAGCUCAGUCUUGAAAUCCCCAACUUCCUUUAUCAUAUUUCCUAGAGCGGUAAGGGAGCAUAAAAGUUUUGUUUGUGCUUCUGCAUCAGCGGCAGGAGGUUCUGGGUCAGAUAAUGAUUUAAACCCAUAUGAGGUUCUUGGUGUGAAUCCCAUUGAGGGGUUUGAUAAGGUCAAGGCAGCUUAUGAAAAAAAGCGCAAGGAGGCCGAGAAACAGGGUGAUGAAGCAGCUGCUGCUCAACUAGAGAAGGCAUAUGAUAAAUUGAUGAUGGCUCAGUUAAGUAAUCGGAAGAAGGGUGUGACAUAUGGUUCAUUCAAGGUUGCCAAGGACAUAAAAUAUGCUGAUAAGCAGCCAGUUGUACCAUGGGGACCAAGGUUUGCCAAGUCCAGUGAAAAUGACAUGCGGAUUAACUUGGCAAUAUCUGCUGCAUUUACAGCUUGGAUUCUUAUCAAACGCAAUGCUGAGUAUAAACCUCUUCAGUUUUUGGCUUUUGCAUUUGUAUAUCGAAUUUUUGAGAAGUUAAAAACCUUUGAACCUCCUGUAUCACCGACAUAUUCAGAAGAUGGUGAAGAUGAGGGGCGAACACUGCGGUUGGGAAAACGGAUACUUCGUGCUCUUGCACUAGUUUUUGGCUCUAUCACUUUUGCCUCCUUGGCAUACACUGGUAUUUUGAAUUUGAUUGAGAUGGCUGGCAGUUACAUACCUGCUUUUCUUUACAAUAAUCAGGCAAUUAUUUAGUUAUUGGAUUCGUCGAACUCAACUGCUUAUGGUCAGAAUUUGUGGAGCAGCUCAUACUUCAUUUGAUGGAACUGCUAAUCACCACUGCUACAUCAGCCAUUCUCUACAUCCUGGCAUCAUAUUAUCGGUAAUCAAUCGGUCAAGAGGCCAAAGGAACAGUGCAUAAAGCUUUUUAUCUUGUUUCUUGUUUUUUCUCAGUUUAUUCAGUUGUGAAAUGAAGUGAGGAACUUUGUAAAAAUGGAACAGUAAUAGGAAAAGAAAAUUUUGGUUAAAAUAGCAUUGCUGUAUAUUUGUUCUGCACUUGUUCUGUUUUUGGCAACAUACAAUGGAUUAAAUAUUAAGUAUAAAUACUUAUUAAUUCAUAAUCAUUUUUAAUUAUUA
RNA transcript from Populus trichocarpa (black cottonwood), 1362 nucleotides. It is a transcript of the gene named protein CHLOROPLAST J-LIKE DOMAIN 1, chloroplastic, with no coding region annotated. Lineage: Eukaryota; Viridiplantae; Streptophyta; Magnoliopsida; Malpighiales; Salicaceae. The transcript is spliced from 11 exons. The record is from RefSeq and is a predicted model, not a curated record.